Molecule: ribosomal RNA, 814 nt
Filed under: Clostridioides difficile
Lineage: Bacteria; Bacillati; Bacillota; Clostridia; Peptostreptococcales; Peptostreptococcaceae
Description: bacterial LSU rRNA
Rfam family: Bacterial large subunit ribosomal RNA
Source: RNAcentral
GGUCCGAACCCACGAGCGUUGAAAAGCUCGGGGAUGACUUGUGGGUAGCGGUGAAAUUCCAAUCGAGCCCGGAGAUAGCUGGUUCUCCCCGAAAUAGCUUUAGGGCUAGCCUCAAGGUGAGAGAUACGGAGGUAGAGCACUGAAUGUCCUAGGGGGUAUUGCACCUACCGAAGACUAUCAAACUCCGAAUGCCGUCAUCUUAUACUUGGGAGUCAGACUGUGGGUGAUAAGAUUCAUAGUCGAAAGGGCAACAGCCCAGAUCGUCAGCUAAGGUCCCUAAAUGUAAGUUAAGUGGUAAAGGAUGUGGGAUUGCACAGACAACCAGGAUGUUGGCUUAGAAGCAGCCACUCAUUCAAAGAGUGCGUAAUAGCUCACUGGUCGAGUGAUCCUGCGCCGAAGAUUUCCGGGGCUAAAACUUACUACCGAAGCUACGGCAUCAGUAAUGAUGGGUAGGGGAGCUUCCCAUACGGGUUGAAGCAUGACCGUAAGGACAUGUGGACAGUAUGGGAGUGAGAAUGUUGGCAUGAGUAGCGAGAUGUGGGUGAGAAUCCCACAGGCCGUAAACCCAAGGUUUCCAGGGGAAGGUUCGUCCGCCCGGGGUUAGUCGGGACCUAAGCUGAGGCCGAAAGGCGUAGGUGAUGGACAACAGGUUGAUAUUCCUGUACUACCGAUAACCGUUUGAGAGAUGGGAUGACACAGUAGGAUAAGCUAAGCACACUGUUGGUUAUGUGUGCCCAAGCAUUGAGGCAGUCAAAGUAGGCAAAUCCGCUUUGAUAAUGCUGGGAUGUGAUGGGGAGCGAAAUUUAGUAGCGAA